This 253-nucleotide ribosomal RNA is filed under the name uncultured bacterium. RNAcentral describes it as "partial 16S ribosomal RNA". It matches the Rfam family "Bacterial small subunit ribosomal RNA", at positions 524 to 776 of the family's 1533-position model. The record is from RNAcentral.
UACGUAGGGUGCAAGCGUCAUUCGGAAUUACUGGGCGUAAAGCGUGCGCAGGCGGUUUUGUAAGUCUGACGUGAAAUCCCCGGGCUCAACCUGGGAAUUGCGUUGGAGACUGCAAGGCUAGAAUCUGGCAGAGGGGGGUAGAAUUCCACGUGUAGCAGUGAAAUGCGUAGAGAUGUGGAGGAACACCGAUGGCGAAGGCAGCCCCCUGGGUCAAGAUUGACGCUCAUGCACGAAAGCGUGGGGAGCAAACAGG